This 403-nucleotide ribosomal RNA is filed under the name uncultured bacterium. RNAcentral describes it as "bacterial SSU rRNA". It matches the Rfam family "Bacterial small subunit ribosomal RNA", at positions 355 to 775 of the family's 1533-position model. The record is from RNAcentral.
UGGGGAAUAUUGGACAAUGGGCGAAAGCCUGAUCCAGCCAUGCCGCGUGAGUGAAGAAGGCCCUAGGGUUGUAAAGCUCUUUCAGCGGGGAAGAUAAUGACGGUACCCGCAGAAGAAGCCCCGGCUAACUUCGUGCCAGCAGCCGCGGUAAUACGAAGGGGGCUAGCGUUGUUCGGAUUUACUGGGCGUAAAGCGCGCGUAGGCGGACAUUUAAGUCAGGGGUGAAAUCCCAAGGCUCAACUUUGGAACUGCCUUUGAUACUGGAUGUCUGGAGUUCGGGAGAGGUGAGUGGAAUUCCGAGUGUAGAGGUGAAAUUCGUAGAUAUUCGGAGGAACACCAGAAGCGAAGGCGGCUCACUGGCCCGAUACUGACGCUGAGGCGCGAAAGCGUGGGGAGCAAACAG